GUGAAUCAUCGAAUUUUUGAACGCAAAUUGCACUCUCCUCGGAGAGUAUGCCUGUUUGAGGGUCAGCCUAUAAAAAUCGACAUCGUUGCUGGUUCACGGUGGCGUUCGUCGGAAAUUAGGUUAUUUUAAAUCCUUUUGAUUUAAGCGACUUAAAAUUUUUUUUUGCUUCCAUGUACUUUUCUAAGAUCUAUUCCUCUACACGUUUUAGGUAUCGAUUUUUACUAUACGUGACCAUCAUAU
This 240-nucleotide unclassified non-coding RNA is filed under the name Glomus sp. Its description in RNAcentral is "partial contains 5.8S ribosomal RNA and internal transcribed spacer 2". The stretch from base 1 to 65 matches the Rfam family "5.8S ribosomal RNA", at positions 84 to 154 of the family's 154-position model. The record is from RNAcentral. Lineage: Eukaryota; Fungi; Glomeromycota; Glomeromycetes; Glomerales; Glomeraceae.